UGCAGCAACGCCGCGUGAGGGAUGACGGCCUAACGGGUUGUAAACCUCUUUUAGUAGGGAAGAAGGGAGCUAUGCUCUUGACGGUACCUGCAGAAAAAGCACCGGCUAACUACGUGCCAUCAGCCGCGGUAAUACGUAGGGUGCAAGCGUUGUCCGGAAUUAUUGGGCGUAAAGAGCUCGUAGGCGGUUUGUCGCGUCUGCUGUGAAAUCCCGAGGCUCAACCUCGGGCUUGGAGUGGGUACGGGCAAACUAGAGUGCGGUAGGGGAGAUUGGAAUUCCUGGUGUAGCGGUGGAAUGCGCAGAUUUCAGGAGGAACACCGAUGGCGAAGGCAGAUCUCUGGGCCGUAACUGACGCUGAGGAGCGAAAGCGUGGGGAGCGAACAGGAUUAAAUACCCUGGUAAUCCACGCCGUACACGUUGGGCGCUAGAUGUAGGGACCUUUCCACGGUUUCUGUGUCGUAGCUAACGCAUUAAGCGCCCCGCCUGGGGAGUACGGCCGCAAGGCUAAAACUCAAAGGAAUUGACGGGGGCCCGCACAAGCGGCGGAUCAUGCGGAUUAAUUCGAUGCAACGCGAAGAACCUUACCAAGGCUUGACAUACACCGGAAACGGCCAGAGAUG
Molecule: ribosomal RNA, 620 nt
Filed under: Curtobacterium sp. Ri3Ps_5349
Lineage: Bacteria; Bacillati; Actinomycetota; Actinomycetes; Micrococcales; Microbacteriaceae
Description: bacterial SSU rRNA
Rfam family: Bacterial small subunit ribosomal RNA
Source: RNAcentral